CCCCAACCCCACAUGAGAAGCACAGUUGCCUCUGAGAACCCGGAAUGUGGACACAGCCAAUAAGCCCUCGUCCUGUCAGUAAGGGGGGAAAUCAUCACAAAAUCUCAUCUUGGAGGACAUAAGAGGCAGCAGCAACGGCUCCUUCCUGGAGCGUUCGGCAGCUCACUCCAGCCCCGGAGCAUGUGCUGAGUUCCCUGACCGUGGCAGCUGCAGCAUGAGGAUCCGUCAUUUCAGAAAAAUAGGGAAAGAGCCUCGAAUCCUUACUGCCCUCUAGAGAAAUUCCAGCAGAAGAGCUCAAUCUGUCGCAGUCAGCAGAAAAACAACGCUGCCCGUCGCAACUGCUCCUGCAGUUGUAAAGCACACAAUUUAUUUGCUAAAAUCUUGGAAGGACGAGUCUACCAGACCCUUUCCUUUACAAUCUCACACCUGAACCGCGAGCUGAUGCUGGCUCCUACGUUGACGCAAUCGUAAUUUUCCCAAUUCCAGGUCCACCCUCCAACACAAAGAUUUUAUGCCCACAGAUGAAUCAAAUUCUGAUCGUCAACAGAGUCACAGCCGACCAUAUUUUAAAUGCAAAUACUCAGACUUGUACAAAAAAUGUUUAACUUUGGGUACUGUUUUGAUGAAGACCUGAAAUUUACUGACCAUCUGUAUUCCAAUGAGAGCUGUGACACUGAGAUUACAGGGAGCUUUUCUAUUAAACACCGAAGUCCUAAAG
Molecule: long non-coding RNA, 718 nt
Filed under: Capra hircus (goat)
Lineage: Eukaryota; Metazoa; Chordata; Mammalia; Artiodactyla; Bovidae
Description: lncRNA (ENSCHIG00000002347.1)
Source: RNAcentral